Molecule: ribosomal RNA, 301 nt
Filed under: uncultured bacterium
Lineage: Bacteria
Description: partial 16S ribosomal RNA
Rfam family: Bacterial small subunit ribosomal RNA
Source: RNAcentral
CAGCAGCCGCGGGAACACAGAGGGUGCGAGCGUUAAUCGGAUUUACUGGGCGUAAAGCGUGCGUAGGCGGCUUUUUAAGUCGGAUGUGAAAUCCCUGAGCUUAACUUAGGAAUUGCAUUCGAUACUGGGAAGCUAGAGUAUGGGAGAGGAUGGUAGAAUUCCAGGUGUAGCGGUGAAAUGCGUAGAGAUCUGGAGGAAUACCGAUGGCGAAGGCAGCCAUCUGGCCUAAUACUGACGCUGAGGUACGAAAGCAUGGGGAGCAAACAGGAUUAGAGACCCGCGUAGUCCCUGUCUCUUAUAU